UAUGGCCAUAUCAUGUUGAAACAUUAGUUCUCGUACGAUCACAGCAGUUAAGCAACGUUGAGCCUGGUCAGUACCUAAAUGGGUGACUGUUUGGGAAUACCAG
Molecule: non-coding RNA, 103 nt
Organism: Acanthosepion pharaonis
Lineage: Eukaryota; Metazoa; Mollusca; Cephalopoda; Sepiida; Sepiidae
Source: the annotation of a GenBank genome assembly